GGCUGGCCCAAAGGUAAUGAGUUAUUUCACUUGAUUGUUCACAGUCACAGAUUGAACUCCUUGUUCUACUACUUCCCCCGUUCUCACUACUGCAGUUGACUGGUCUUAA
RNAcentral lists this Y RNA (109 nucleotides) under Microcebus murinus (gray mouse lemur). RNAcentral's name for it is "Y RNA (ENSMICG00000047757.1)". It matches the Rfam family "Y RNA". From Rfam's summary of the family: Y RNAs are components of the Ro ribonucleoprotein particle (Ro RNP), in association with Ro60 and La proteins. The Y RNAs and Ro60 and La proteins are well conserved, but the function of the Ro RNP is not known. In humans the RNA component can be one of four small RNAs -- hY1, hY3, hY4 and hY5. The record is from Rfam by way of RNAcentral. Lineage: Eukaryota; Metazoa; Chordata; Mammalia; Primates; Cheirogaleidae.